GACGAACGCUGGCGGCGUGCCUAAUACAUGCAAGUCGAACGCUUCUUUCCUCCCGAGUGCUUGCACUCAAUUGGAAAGAGGAGUGGCGGACGGGUGAGUAACACGUGGGUAACCUACCCAUCAGAGGGGGGUAACACUUGGAAACAGGUGCUAAUACCGCAUAACAGUUUAUGCCGCAUGGCAUAAGAGUGAAAGGCGCUUUCGGGUGUCGCUGAUGGAUGGACCCGCGGUGCAUUAGCUAGUUGGUGAGGUAACGGCUCACCAAGGCCACGAUGCAUAGCCGACCUGAGAGGGUGAUCGGCCACACUGGGACUGAGACACGGCCCAGACUCCUACGGGAGGCAGCAGUAGGGAAUCUUCGGCAAUGGACGAAAGUCUGACCGAGCAACGCCGCGUGAGUGAAGAAGGUGUUCGGAUCGUAAAACUCUGUUGUUAGAGAAGAACAAGGACGUUAGUAACUGAACGUCCCCUGACGGUAUCUAACCAGAAAGCCACGGCUAACUACGUG
Molecule: ribosomal RNA, 508 nt
Filed under: uncultured bacterium
Lineage: Bacteria
Description: partial 16S ribosomal RNA
Rfam family: Bacterial small subunit ribosomal RNA
Source: RNAcentral